GAUGAACGCUGGCGGUGUGCCUAAUACAUGCCAGUCGAGCGAACAGAUAAGGAGCUUGCUCCUUUGACGUUAGCGGCGGACGGGUGAGUAACACGUGGGUAACCUACCUAUAAGACUGGGAUAACUUCGGGAAACCGGAGCUAAUACCGGAUAACAUUUGGAACCGCAUGGUUCUAAAGUGAAAGAUGGUUUUGCUAUCACUUAUAGAUGGACCCGCGCCGUAUUAGCUAGUUGGUAAGGUAACGGCUUACCAAGGCGACGAUACGUAGCCGACCUGGGAGGGUGAUCGGCCACACUGGAACUGAGACACGGUCCAGACUCCUACGGGAGGCAGCAGUAGGGAAUCUUCCGCAAUGGGCGAAAGCCUGACGGAGCAACGCCGCGUGAGUGAUGAAGGGUUUCGGCUCGUAAAACUCUGUUAUUAGGGAAGAACAAACGUGUAAGUAACUGUGCACGUCUUGACGGUACCUAAUCAGAAAGCCACGGCUAACUACGUG
Molecule: ribosomal RNA, 497 nt
Filed under: uncultured bacterium
Lineage: Bacteria
Description: partial 16S ribosomal RNA
Rfam family: Bacterial small subunit ribosomal RNA
Source: RNAcentral